GCUUCCAGUGUUAAGCUAAACCACUUGUAAGAGCAGUGUUAUCUCCCCAUCAGAAGCAGCUUGGGCAGACAUACAACAAAUCAAAUUUUCAAACAAAUGUCAAAGCCUGUGUUUGAAUGGCAGAGGCUGUGUAAGGCCGGUGGAGAUCUAUUAUUUCAUCUGUAUCUCUAACACAGAAAGCACACUGAAAAUAAGCAGAAGAGCUAAACUUCUGGAUUCUGGUUCUUGAAGUAUGUAUUUGAGGUUACUCCAUUUAAAUUUCUUUCAGCUGAGACGUUCAUGCACAGCAGAGGAGCAAUUUCUUCUAUGUCCCACUCAACACCAGUAAGAUCACCUGAUAAAGAAAGGUAUCUGAAGCCCAGUUCUCCCACAGAAACAUCUAAGAUUCUGUGUACUGCCUGGCCUGAGAUCCCUGCUAGCCAAGCCUCAGACUAAUGUUAAUGUGAACGUGACACACAGUGAAGACAUCCAGCCUAUUGCAUGUAUUCCAAAUUAACCUGUGGACUCCCUGUUAAUUCUGUUGGAUGUAUCUGGAGGUACAGCUCUGCUCUGGGGAUGCCUGCCAUGACCACUGAUCACAGAAGGAGCCUGAUCCUCUUUCAGAGGAGAUGUCCAACUGUUUCAUCCACAUAGGCUAGUGGAAAUUGAAAUUUGUAUUAGCAGUGGAGUUAAUGGGCACCCCUUAAAAUAAAAUAUGCAACGAGCGUGUGGGUUUCCUGUGC
RNAcentral lists this long non-coding RNA (722 nucleotides) under Cyanistes caeruleus (blue tit). RNAcentral's name for it is "lncRNA (ENSCCEG00000018540.1)". Lineage: Eukaryota; Metazoa; Chordata; Aves; Passeriformes; Paridae. The record is from RNAcentral.